UGGACUUGACAUAGUAAGAACUUUUUAGAGAUAAAGAGGUGUCUGCUUGCAGAAACUUAUAUAC
RNAcentral lists this ribosomal RNA (64 nucleotides) under uncultured bacterium. RNAcentral's name for it is "partial 16S ribosomal RNA". The record is from RNAcentral.